GUAGGCUAUGGCGACAUGAGGCCAGUCGGCGUUUGGGGCAAAUUUGUCGGCUCACUUUGUGCUAUCGCCGGCGUACUGACCAUAGCACUACCAGUGCCUGUUAUAGUAUCGAAU
Molecule: non-coding RNA, 114 nt
Organism: Sarcoptes scabiei
Lineage: Eukaryota; Metazoa; Arthropoda; Arachnida; Sarcoptiformes; Sarcoptidae
Source: Rfam